Drosophila persimilis is the source of this 641-nucleotide long non-coding RNA. RefSeq lists it as uncharacterized. Lineage: Eukaryota; Metazoa; Arthropoda; Insecta; Diptera; Drosophilidae. The record is from RefSeq and is a predicted model, not a curated record. The transcript is spliced from 3 exons.
CAAAUAUAUAAACGGUAAUAUUUGGACUCGCGAUUCGGUUCGGGAUCGUUGGGCUAUAGCUUCUGAGCCCCCACCGUCAAAGAACUGUACCGUACCGGUCGUCGCGUCGCUUCUUUGGAGGUGUUUCGAAAAAGUACCACCACGAAAAUGCAUAAAUUUCGAAUACAGUCCAAAACGGGUGCACAAUAAGCCGACAAAAACAGGAUCCUUCAGCGGCUAAGGAACACCUCAUCAAUGGUCUCUCAACGCAAUUGUGCAAAUCCUUCAUAAAAAAAAGGGUAUCUAAUAUCGAGAAAAAUCGAAACAAAUCGAAAAAUCAAAGAUAACGCAGAUAUAGAUAAAGAUCUUUUAAAUACCGAUUGAAAUGUGUAUAAUGUUGAAUGCAACAAAGUGGAGUGCGCACUCCAUUUGAAAUAGAUAAAGAUGCGCAACCGCUGCCGUGGCCUCCAUUUGUGGCAUACGACGCGAUGCAACGCCUAAAUAUCCGUGGAAGAAGCAACUGCUGUGAGUGUUCGAAUGUUGUCGAAACAUGGUACGCGACAGUAGCCGUAACAUUUGUUUUGGAAAAUUAGCCGAAACUACGACAACCACAACGCCACAACAGCAACAGAUCCUGCAACAUCCUGUGCAGCAGCCACAUC